AUUGAACGCUGGCGGCAGGCCUAACACAUGCGAGUCGAGCGGAUGAAGGGAGCUUGCUCCUGGAUUCAGCGGCGGACGGGUGAGUAAUGCCUAGGAAUCUGCCUGGUAGUGGGGGAUAACGUCCGGAAACGGGCGCUAAUACCGCAUACGUCUUGAGGGAGAAAGUGGGGGAUCUUCGGACCUCACGCUAUCAGAUGAGCCUAGGUCGGAUUAGCUAGUUGGUGGGGUAAAGGCCUACCAAGGCGACGAUCCGUAACUGGUCUGAGAGGAUGAUCAGUCACACUGGAACUGAGACACGGUCCAGACUCCUACGGGAGGCAGCAGUUGGGAAUAUUGGACAAUGGGCGAAAGCCUGAUCCAGCCAUGCCGCGUGUGUGAAGAAGGUCUUCGGAUUGUAAAGCACUUUAAGUUGGGAGGAAGGGCAGUAAGUUAAUACCUUGCUGUUUUGACGUUACCAACAGAAUAAGCACCGGCUAACUUCGUG
This 484-nucleotide ribosomal RNA is filed under the name uncultured bacterium. RNAcentral's name for it is "partial 16S ribosomal RNA". It matches the Rfam family "Bacterial small subunit ribosomal RNA", at positions 30 to 507 of the family's 1533-position model. The record is from RNAcentral.